AAAUUGAAGAGUUUGAUCAUGGCUCAGAUUGAACGCUGGCGGCAGGCCUAACACAUGCAAGUCGAACGGUAACAGGAAGCAGCUUGCUGCUUUGCUGACGAGUGGCGGACGGGUGAGUAAUGUCUGGGAAACUGCCUGAUGGAGGGGGAUAACUACUGGAAACGGUGGCUAAUACCGCAUAACGUCGCAAGACCAAAGAGGGGGACCUUCGGGCCUCUUGCCAUCAGAUGUGCCCAGAUGGGAUUAGCUUGUUGGUGAGGUAACGGCUCACCAAGGCGACGAUCCCUAGCUGGUCUGAGAGGAUGACCAGCCACACUGGAACUGAGACACGGUCCAGACUCCUACGGGAGGCAGCAGUGGGGAAUAUUGCACAAUGGGCGCAAGCCUGAUGCAGCCAUGCCGCGUGUAUGAAGAAGGCCUUCGGGUUGUAAAGUACUUUCAGCGGGGAGGAAGGGAGUAAGGUUAAUAACCUUAUUCAUUGACGUUACCC
Molecule: ribosomal RNA, 490 nt
Filed under: Salmonella enterica subsp. enterica serovar Heidelberg
Lineage: Bacteria; Pseudomonadati; Pseudomonadota; Gammaproteobacteria; Enterobacterales; Enterobacteriaceae
Also listed under: 1 other name
Description: bacterial SSU rRNA
Rfam family: Bacterial small subunit ribosomal RNA
Source: RNAcentral